This 414-nucleotide ribosomal RNA is filed under the name uncultured bacterium. RNAcentral describes it as "bacterial SSU rRNA". It matches the Rfam family "Bacterial small subunit ribosomal RNA", at positions 505 to 916 of the family's 1533-position model. The record is from RNAcentral.
GUGCCAGCCGCCGCGGUAAUACGGAGGGAGCGAGCGUUGUUCGGAAUUACUGGGCGUAAAGGGCGCGUAGGCGGCCUCGUAAGUCGGGUGUGAAAGGCCGGGGCUCAACCCCGUGCACUGCACCCGAUACUGCAUGGCUAGAGAAAGGUAGAGGCGAGCGGAAUUCCCGGUGUAGCGGUGGAAUGCGUAGAUAUCGGGAAGAACAUCUGCGGCGAAGGCGGCUCGCUGGGCCUUUUCUGACGCUGAAGCGCGAAAGCGUGGGGAGCAAACAGGAUUAGAUACCCUGGUAGUCCACGCCGUAAACGCUGGGCACUAGGUGUCGGGAGGCUUGGUCCUUUCGGUGCCGCAGCUAACGCAUUAAGUGCCCCGCCUGGGGAUUACGGCCGCAAGGCUGAAACUCAAAGGAAUUGACGG